RNAcentral lists this unclassified non-coding RNA (387 nucleotides) under Pseudognaphalium flavescens. RNAcentral describes it as "partial external transcribed spacer". The record is from RNAcentral. Lineage: Eukaryota; Viridiplantae; Streptophyta; Magnoliopsida; Asterales; Asteraceae.
UACUGGUGGUUGGCUUUUUGCUUGCGCAACAACUUCUACCUGGCAUACCUCUUUAGUCUUGUGUCAAUGCUUGUAUUGCAUUGAAUGCAUGAUGGGUUUCUUGUGUUGCAUGCCUAAUUAAUGGUAUCACUUGAUGAAUUGGUUUUCCUUUCGUCUGGCAUUGCCUAUGCAAUGUGAGAUGAACCUUGAAGCAGCCUUUGUGAUCCACUCUUUUGAUGCAUACGCAUUGAUUUUGUGGCUCAUUGAGUGUUGCUCGGUCUCAUGGAUAUGGAACCUGGUGUGGGCAUGGAAUCUUAAUGGUUCCUUGUUUGCCCAAGUUUAGCUUUUAUAAAACGAUUGUCUAUCAUGUGUUAACGUGGUAGACUACUUCGAAUAUGAAUGCUACCU